CCGGUCAACCAAGACAAUCGCUGCUGUGCUUGCACAGGGGAGGAAAGUCCGGGCUCCACAGGGCAAAGUGCCAGUUAAUGGCUGGGGGGCGUAAGCCUACGGCAAGUGCCACAGAAAAUAUACCGCCUCGAUCUGUAACAGGAUGAGACUCUCGCAAGAGAGGGGGUAAGGGUGAAAUGGUGCGGUAAAAGCGCACCGCGCUCCUGGUAACAGGAGUGGCAGGGUAAACCCCACUUGGAGCAAGGCUAAAUAGGGGUACAUUCGGUGCUGCCCGCACUGUACCCGGGUAAGCUGCUUGAGGUGUUGAGCGAUCAACAUCCUAGACGAAUGAUUGUCCACGACAAAACCCGGCUUAUCGGUUGACCGACUUU
This 371-nucleotide RNase P RNA is filed under the name Gammaproteobacteria bacterium. Its description in RNAcentral is "RNase P RNA component class A". It matches the Rfam family "Bacterial RNase P class A". From Rfam's summary of the family: Ribonuclease P (RNase P) is a ubiquitous endoribonuclease, found in archaea, bacteria and eukarya as well as chloroplasts and mitochondria. Its best characterised activity is the generation of mature 5'-ends of tRNAs by cleaving the 5'-leader elements of precursor-tRNAs. Lineage: Bacteria; Pseudomonadati; Pseudomonadota; Gammaproteobacteria. The record is from RNAcentral.